CUACCUCAUCACGGGAGCCCGGCGCACCGGGCUGAGAGGCGGGCUGUGGCGGCCCGCGACCGUCCGAACCUGAUCCGGGUCAUGCCGGCGAAGGGAGAAGAAGUGCCGUGGCA
RNAcentral lists this non-coding RNA (113 nucleotides) under Kitasatospora griseola. RNAcentral describes it as "TPP sequence". It matches the Rfam family "TPP riboswitch aptamer (THI element)". From Rfam's summary of the family: Vitamin B(1) in its active form thiamin pyrophosphate (TPP) is an essential coenzyme that is synthesised by coupling of pyrimidine and thiazole moieties in bacteria. The record is from Rfam by way of RNAcentral. Lineage: Bacteria; Bacillati; Actinomycetota; Actinomycetes; Kitasatosporales; Streptomycetaceae.